Molecule: ribosomal RNA, 301 nt
Filed under: uncultured bacterium
Lineage: Bacteria
Description: partial 16S ribosomal RNA
Rfam family: Bacterial small subunit ribosomal RNA
Source: RNAcentral
CAGCCGCCACGGUAAUACGAAGGGUGCAAGCGUUAAUCGGAAUUACUGGGCGUAAAGCGUGCGUAGGCGGUGAGUUAAGUCUGCUGUGAAAUCCCCGGGCUCAACCUGGGAAUGGCAGUGGAUACUGGCUCGCUAGAGUGUGUCAGAGGAUGGUGGAAUUCCCGGUGUAGCGGUGAAAUGCGUAAAGAUCGGGAGGAACAUCAGUGGCGAAGGCGGCCAUCUGGGACAACACUGACGCUGAGGCACGAAAGCGUGGGGAGCAAACAGGAUUAGAUACCCGCGUAGUCCCUGUCUCUUAUAC